Molecule: ribosomal RNA, 498 nt
Filed under: uncultured bacterium
Lineage: Bacteria
Description: bacterial SSU rRNA
Rfam family: Bacterial small subunit ribosomal RNA
Source: RNAcentral
CCUGGCUCAGGAUGAACGCUAGCGGCAGGCGUUAACACGAUGCAAGUCAGGGGUAACAGGGAGUAGCAAUACUCUGCUGACGACCGGCGCACGGGUGCGUAACGCGUAUGCAACCUGCCCGUAACAGGGGUAUAACGGAGGGAAACUUCCACUAAUCCCCCAUAUUGUCGAGGGGCCGCAUGGUUUUUCGACGAAAGCUUCGGUGGUUACGGAUGGGCAUGCGUGACAUUAGGUAGUUGGUGAGGCAACGGCUCACCAAGCCGACGAUGUCUAGGGGAGCUGAGAGGCUUAUCCCCACACUGGUACUGAGACACGGACCAGACUCCUACGGGAGGCAGCAGUGAGGAAUAUUGGUCAAUGGGAGGAAUCCUGAACCAGCCAUGCCGCGUGGGGGAAGAAGGUCCUACGGGUUGUAAACCCCUUUUGCUCCGGAGUAAUAAGCAGUUUGCGAACUGCGAUGAGAGUACGGGGCGAAUAAGCAUCGGCUAACUCCGUGCC